This 67-nucleotide transfer RNA is filed under the name Rasbora bankanensis. Its description in RNAcentral is "tRNA-Met". Lineage: Eukaryota; Metazoa; Chordata; Actinopteri; Cypriniformes; Danionidae. The record is from RNAcentral.
GAUAGUCAGCUAAAAAAGCUUUCGGGCCCAUACCCCGAACAUGAUGGUUAAAAUCCUUCCCCCAUCA